AGUUUAGCAACUCCAGCACACCGACCUCUCCAGCAGUUUGAUCCAUUCAUUCUCAGGUUUGAAAGGUUUUGGCCGGGCGCGGUGGCUCAUGCCUGUAAUCCCAGCACUUUGGGAGGCUGAGGCGGGCGGAUCACCUGAGGUCCGUGGUUCGAGACCAGCCUGACCAAUAUAGAGAAACCCAGUCUCUACUAAAAAUACAAAAUUAGCCGGGCGUGGUAUCGCAUGCAUGUAAUCCCAGCUACUCGGGAGGCUGAGGCCGGAGAAUAGCAUGUAAUCCCAGCUACUCGGGAGGCAGAGGUUACGGUGAGCCGAGAUCGCGCCAUUGCACUCCAGCCUGGGCAACAAGAGCGAAACACUGUCUCAAAAAAAAAAAAAAAAAAAAAGGUUUAUUGAAUAUUCCAGUAUUCAAAACCCGGCCGGGCGCGGUGGCUCACGCCUGUAAUCUCAGCACUUUGGGAGGCCGAGGCGGGUGGAUUACGAGGUCAGGAGAUCGAGACCAUCCUGGCUAACACGGUGAAACCCCGUCUCUACUAAAAAUACAAAAAAAAUGAGCCGGGCGUGGUGGCGGGCGCCUGUAGUCCCAGCUACCUGGGAGGCCGAGGCAGGACAAUGGCGUGAACCCGGGAGACAGAGCUUGCAGUGAGCCGAGAUCACGCCGCUGCACUCCAGCCUGGGCGACAGAACGAGACUCCGUCUCAAAAAAAGAAAAAAAAAAAAACCCACAGACACAACUCCUACCAACUAACUGGGUCAGUAGGGAAGGUCCUUCCAGGACCGCAAAGAUCCUAAUGCUUCACACCCACCCAUUUUACAGAUGGGGCAAUAGAGGAAGCGGGUCACUUACGCGCUGCCCAAGGUCACCCAGCAAUGUAAUUGCAGGGCCUGGGUCAGUCUCUCCACUGUUCAAACACUAAAUGGCUACCUUAUCCCGAGGGAAGCAAGUAUUCGCUGUUCCCCUCUGAGAGAGGGGGCUCAGUCAGUAUGUUCCCAGAGAAUCAGGUGUCCUGGAGUGUCUGCUUUGGACUCAGGGAAGGCGUCCAGUUACUACUGCUCUUCCCUGGGGCCCCUCCCAGGGGUGUGGGACGAGGUCACUAAUCCAUCCUGUCUCUUUGGUAAUUGAAAAGGUUUUGGAGACCCAACCAUUGCCCAAAGACUCUUCCAAAGCACCAGGAAAAUAGGAAAGGAAAAUAAAAUGAUAUAUGUGAAAGCACUGGGAAAGGUAGAAAAGGACACUUUUGUCACAAAGUCACUGUGUCACUUGGCACAUCAGUUCAGCUCUCUGGCCUUCCAUUUCCCUACCUGUCAAAUGAAGGAGCUGGUGCCGUAAUCUCCAACAUGCCUUACAGCUUCCAUAAAUAUGUGGAAGUGUGGCAGUGUGCAGUGGCUCUCACCUGUAAUCCCAGCACUCUGGGAGGCCGAGGCAGGUGGAUCACGAGGUCAGGAAUUCAAGACCAGCCUGACCAACAUGGUGAAAACCCCGUUUCUACUAAAAAUACAAAAAUUAGCCAGGCGUGGUGGUGCGUGCCUGUAAUCUCACUACUCAGGAGGCUGAGGCGGAGAAGUGCUUGAACCCGGGAGGCAGAGGUUGCAGUGAGCCAAGAUCGUCCCACUGCAAUCCAGCCUGGGCACCAGAGCGAGACUCUGUCUCAAAACAAACAAACAAACAAACAAAAAAUAUAUAUAGAGAGAGAGGUGUUUGCUUUCUCCAAAAUUGAUUAUUUCAACAUUUAUUGAGCUCUAUGCCUGCCGCUGUUUUGGAUCCCCCAAGGAUCCGAAGGGAAAGUAGACACAGCUCCUUCCCUGCAUUCUUUUAGGGAAGAAACAAGGCAUUAUU
RNAcentral lists this long non-coding RNA (1834 nucleotides) under Homo sapiens (human). RNAcentral's name for it is "non-protein coding lnc-SBNO1-2:1". The record is from RNAcentral. Lineage: Eukaryota; Metazoa; Chordata; Mammalia; Primates; Hominidae.